AGAGUUUGAUUCUGGCUCAGGAUGAACGCUGGCGGCGUGCUUAACACAUGCAAGUCGAACGGAACUUACGUGAAACUUUCGUCGAUCGUAAGUUUAGUGGCGGACGGGUGAGUAACGCGUGGGUAACCUACCUCACACAGGGGGAUAACAGUUGGAAACGACUGCUAAAACCGCAUAACAUGGCGAUACCGCAUGACAUUGCCAUCAAAUAUUUAUAGGUGUGAGAUGGGCCCGCGUCUGAUUAGCUAGUUGGUGAGGUAAAGGCCCACCAAGGCGACGAUCAGUAGCCGGCUUGAGAGAGUGAACGGCCACAUUGGGACUGAGACACGGCCCAAACUCCUACGGGAGGCAGCAGUGGGGGAUAUUGGACAAUGGGGGAAACCCUGAUCCAGCGACGCCGCGUGAGUGAAGAAGUAUUUCGGUAUGUAAAGCUCUAUCAGCAGGGAAGAAAAGCGCAAGCAUUGACUGUACCUGACUAAGAAGCCCCGGCUAACUACGUGCCAGCCGCGGC
RNAcentral lists this ribosomal RNA (511 nucleotides) under uncultured bacterium. Its description in RNAcentral is "bacterial SSU rRNA". It matches the Rfam family "Bacterial small subunit ribosomal RNA", at positions 8 to 518 of the family's 1533-position model. The record is from RNAcentral.